GAUGAACGCUAGCGACAGGCUUAACACAUGCUAGUCGAGGGGCAGCAUAAAAGUAGCAAUACUUUGGUGGCGACCGGCGCACGGGUGAGUAACGCGUAUGCAACCUACCUAUCAGAGGGGAAUAACCCGGCGAAAGUCGGACUAAUACCGCAUAAAACAGGGGCACCGCAAGGUGAUAUUUGUUAAAGAAAUUCGCUGAUAGAUGGACAUGCGUUCCAUUAGGUAGUUGGUGAGGUAACGGCUCACCAAGCCGACGAUGGAUAGGGGAACUGAGAGGUUGGUCCCCCACACUGGUACUGAGACACGGACCAGACUCCUACGGGAGGCAGCAGUGAGGAAUAUUGGUCAAUGGGCGAGAGCCUGAACCAGCCAAGUCGCGUGAAGGAAGAAGGAUCUAUGGUUCGUAAACUUCUUUUGCAGGGGAAUAAAGUGCGGGACGUGUCCUGUUUUGUAUGUACCCUGAGAAUAAGGAUCGGCUAACUCCGUGCCAGCAGCCGCCGUAA
RNAcentral lists this ribosomal RNA (503 nucleotides) under uncultured bacterium. Its description in RNAcentral is "partial 16S ribosomal RNA". It matches the Rfam family "Bacterial small subunit ribosomal RNA", at positions 28 to 523 of the family's 1533-position model. The record is from RNAcentral.